This 378-nucleotide ribosomal RNA is filed under the name uncultured bacterium. RNAcentral describes it as "bacterial SSU rRNA". It matches the Rfam family "Bacterial small subunit ribosomal RNA", at positions 523 to 898 of the family's 1533-position model. The record is from RNAcentral.
AAACGUAGGAGGCGAGCGUUAUCCGGAUUUACUGGGUGUAAAGCGCGUGCAGGCGGUCGUGUAAGUGGUGCGUGAAAGCUCCCGGCUCAACCGGGAGAGGACGUGCCAAACUGCAGGGCUAGAGGCAGGUAGAGGCGUGUGGAAUUCCGGGUGUAGUGGUGAAAUGCGUAGAGAUCCGGAGGAACACCAGUGGCGAAGGCGACACGCUGGGCCUGGCCUGACGCUCAGACGCGAAAGCAUGGGGAGCGAACGGGAUUAGAAACCCCGGUAGUCCAUGCUGUAAACGAUGCUGACUAGGUGUUGCGGGUGAGAUACUCCGGCAGUGCCGAAGCUAACGUGGUAAGUCAGCCACCUGGGGACUACGGCCGCAAGGUUAAA